AACGAACGCUGGCGGCAGGCCUAACACAUGCAAGUCGAGGGGGAAGCCAUCUUCGGGUGGUGGAGACCGGCGCACGGGUGAGUAACGCGUGGGCACCUGCCCUGGGGUGGGGGAUAACCGCUGGAAACGGCGGCUAAUACCGCAUACGCCUUGAGAGGGAAAGAUUUAUCGCCCUGGGAGGGGCCCGCGUUGGAUUAGCUUGUUGGUGGGUAAAGGCCCACCAAGGCGACGAUCCAUAGCUGGUCUGAGAGGAUGAUCAGCCACACUGGGACUGAGACACGGCCCAGACUCCUACGGGAGGCAGCAGUGGGGAAUAUUGGACAAUGGGGGCAACCCUGAUCCAGCCAUGCCGCGUGCGUGAAGAAGGCCUUAGGGUUGUAAAGCGCUUUCACCGGUGACGAUGAUGACGGUAGCCGGAGAAGAAGCCCCGGCUAACUCCGUG
This 442-nucleotide ribosomal RNA is filed under the name uncultured bacterium. Its description in RNAcentral is "bacterial SSU rRNA". It matches the Rfam family "Bacterial small subunit ribosomal RNA", at positions 28 to 507 of the family's 1533-position model. The record is from RNAcentral.